UACACAACUUUCGACAACGGAUCUCUUGGUUCUCGCAUCGAUGAAGAACGUAGCA
RNAcentral lists this ribosomal RNA (55 nucleotides) under uncultured Basidiomycota. RNAcentral describes it as "partial 5.8S ribosomal RNA". It matches the Rfam family "5.8S ribosomal RNA", at positions 1 to 50 of the family's 154-position model. From Rfam's summary of the family: 5.8S ribosomal RNA (5.8S rRNA) is a component of the large subunit of the eukaryotic ribosome. It is transcribed by RNA polymerase I as part of the 45S precursor that also contains 18S and 28S rRNA. Lineage: Eukaryota; Fungi; Basidiomycota. RNAcentral also lists the same sequence under 1 other name. The record is from RNAcentral.